Molecule: long non-coding RNA, 908 nt
Organism: Oncorhynchus masou masou (cherry salmon)
Lineage: Eukaryota; Metazoa; Chordata; Actinopteri; Salmoniformes; Salmonidae
Exons: 2
Source: RefSeq, a predicted model, not a curated record
CCUCCUCCUCUCUCUCUCUCUCUCUCUCUCUCUCAUCCCUCCCUCUCUCUGUUUCUCUCCCUUUUUCACACUAUGUCCAACCCCCCCCUCCUCCUCUCUCUCUCAUGUGCCACUCCCUGUCUCUAGCGUUCUGGGAUUAUUGGAGUAGCUGACAUAUAUGCCUCGUUUGUGUUUUGUUUUCGUGGACAGGAUGUUCUUUUCAUGUCCUCAAUAGGUUUGUGGUUAUUUUACUUCUAUAGCUUUUGUUCUGCGUGAACGUCCCUGUAUUCACGACCACAUAAACGGCACCAGGCAUUAUGGUAACACCUUUUACACAAUGCAAGAAUGGAAAGCCCCCCCAUGUCAGGUUUUCUCAGAACUGAACAGAAGGUAUUUGUGAUAAUGGAGCUAGGAAGAAGUGCUUGGUUAUGAAAGGAUAAAACUGGAAGACCAAACAUUUCCCCCAUCAGGGAGACAACGAGACCGCAGUGUUGUGGACAGGAGAUGAAAAACCCAAGCCCUUUCUGAACAGAGAGAAUGGAGAGAAACGGAGAGAAUGAAGAGAACAGAGUGCUCCGGGUAGAAAUGGAGAAAGAGAAACAAAAACACAGCAAACCUCUCCCCAGUCAGGUGAAAGACAGAGAUUCACUGUUUUCUUUUCCUUUGGCAUGAGUCACUCAGGGACAGUCUGGAGGGAUUUAUUUUGGGUCUUGGUAGAUUCAACCUUCAGAACCUUCUGACUGGAUGGAGGAAACUGGGUGUGACGUGUUGGGAGAUGAGCUUGUUACCUUGUGUGCUACUUUGCCCCCUAGAGCCAUCAUAGUCCUGGCCAAAUGUGCUGCUCAUUGGAGAUCACUAAAGGAUCUCCAAUCUGAGCCUCAACAAAGACCAUUGUUCUCCUUUGAGCAAAAGAAACUUUUUUUAUUGAA